Molecule: ribosomal RNA, 323 nt
Filed under: uncultured Pseudomonadota bacterium
Lineage: Bacteria; Pseudomonadati; Pseudomonadota
Description: bacterial SSU rRNA
Rfam family: Bacterial small subunit ribosomal RNA
Source: RNAcentral
AUUGAACGCUGGCGGCAUGCCUUACACAUGCAAGUCGAACGGCAGCACGGGAGCAAUCCUGGUGGCGAGUGGCGAACGGGUGAGUAAUAUAUCGGAACGUGCCCAGUCGUGGGGGAUAACGCAGCGAAAGCUGUGCUAAUACCGCAUACGAUCUCUGGAUGAAAGCGGGGGACUCGCAAGAGCCUCGCGCGAUUGGAGCGGCCGAUAUCAGAUUAGCUAGUUGGUGGGGUAAAGGCUCACCAAGGCGACGAUCUGUAGCUGGUCUGAGAGGACGACCAGCCACACUGGAACUGAGACACGGUCCAGACUCCUACGGGAGGCAG